AUCCAACUGACGAGUCGCAAACAGGACGAAACGCGCGUCCUGGAU
Molecule: non-coding RNA, 45 nt
Filed under: Schistosoma curassoni
Lineage: Eukaryota; Metazoa; Platyhelminthes; Trematoda; Strigeidida; Schistosomatidae
Source: RNAcentral